CGGGACACGUGGUAUCCUGUCUGAAUAUGGGGGGACCAUCCUCCAAGGCUAAAUACUCCUGACUGACCGAUAGUGAACCAGUACCGUGAGGGAAAGGCGAAAAGAACCCCGGCGAGGGGAGUGAAAAAGAACCUGAAACCGUGUACGUACAAGCAGUGGGAGCACGCUUAGGCGUGUGACUGCGUACCUUUUGUAUAAUGGGUCAGCGACUUAUAUUCUGUAGCAAGGUUAACCGAAUAGGGGAGCCGAAGGGAAACCGAGUCUUAACUGGGCGUUAAGUUGCAGGGUAUAGACCCGAAACCCGGUGAUCUAGCCAUGGGCAGGUUGAAGGUUGGGUAACACUAACUGGAGGACCGAACCGACUAAUGUUGAAAAAUUAGCGGAUGACUUGUGGCUGGGGGUGAAAGGCCAAUCAAACCGGGAGAUAGCUGGUUCUCCCCGAAAGCUAUUUAGGUAGCGCCUCGUGAAUUCAUCUCCGGGGGUAGAGCACUGUUUCGGCAAGGGGGUCAUCCCGACUUACCAACCCGAUGCAAACUGCGAAUACCGGAGAAUGUUAUCACGGGAGACACACGGCGGGUGCUAACGUCCGUCGUGAAGAGGGAAACAACCCAGACCGCCAGCUAAGGUCCCAAAGUCAUGGUUAAGUGGGAAACGAUGUGGGAAGGCCCAGACAGCCAGGAUGUUGGCUUAGAAGCAGCCAUCAUUUAAAGAAAGCGUAAUAGCUCACUGGUCGAGUCGGCCUGCGCGGAAGAUGUAACGGGGCUAAACCAUGCACCGAAGCUGCGGCAGCGACGCUUAUGCGUUGUUGGGUAGGGGAGCGUUCUGUAAGCCUGCGAAGGUGUGCUGUGAGGCAUGCUGGAGGUAUCAGAAGUGCGAAUGCUGACAUAAGUAACGAUAAAGCGGGUGAAAAGCCCGCUCGCCGGAAGACCAAGGGUUCCUGUCCAACGUUAAUCGGGGCAGGGUGAGUCGACCCCUAAGGCGAGGCCGAAAGGCGUAGUCGAUGGGAAACAGGUUAAUAUUCCUGUACUUGGUGUUACUGCGAAGGGGGGACGGAGAAGGCUAUGUUGGCCGGGCGACGGUUGUCCCGGUUUAAGCGUGUAGGCUGGUUUUCCAGGCAAAUCCGGAAAAUCAAGGCUGAGGCGUGAUGACGAGGCAC
This 1156-nucleotide ribosomal RNA is filed under the name Escherichia coli. RNAcentral describes it as "partial 23S ribosomal RNA". It matches the Rfam family "Bacterial large subunit ribosomal RNA", at positions 418 to 1577 of the family's 2925-position model. Lineage: Bacteria; Pseudomonadati; Pseudomonadota; Gammaproteobacteria; Enterobacterales; Enterobacteriaceae. The record is from RNAcentral.